This 253-nucleotide ribosomal RNA is filed under the name uncultured bacterium. Its description in RNAcentral is "partial 16S ribosomal RNA". It matches the Rfam family "Bacterial small subunit ribosomal RNA", at positions 524 to 776 of the family's 1533-position model. The record is from RNAcentral.
UACGUAGGGUGCGAGCGUUAAUCGGAAUUACUGGGCGUAAAGCGCGCGCAGGCGGUUCUUCAAGUCAGAGGUGAAAGCCCAGAGCUCAACUCUGGAAUGGCCUUUGAGACUAGAGAACUAGGGUACGGGAGAAGUGAGUGGAAUUCCGAGUGUAGAGGUGAAAUUCGUAGAUAUUCGGAAGAACACCAGUGGCGAAGGCGGCUCACUGGCCCGUUACCGACGCUCAGGCGCGACAGCGUGGGGAGCAAACAGG